CCUUGAGUUCGGGCCGCACGCGCGCUACACUGAUGAAGUCAACGAGUUUAUAACCUUGGCCGGAAGGUCUGGGUAAUCUUUUGAAACUUCAUCGUGCUGGGGAUAGAGCAUUGCAAUUAUUGCUCUUCAACGAGGAAUUCCUAGUAAGCGUGAGUCAUCAGCUCGCGUUGAUUACGUCCCUGCCCUUUGUACACACCGCCCGUCGCUACUACCGAUUGAACGGCUUAGUGAGUCCUUUGGAUUGUUGGAAACUGAUUGGCAACAGUCGGUUUCCGACGAGAAGUUGGGCAAACUUGGUCGUUUAGAGGAAGUAAAAGUCGUAACAAGGUUUCCGUAGGUGAACCUGCGGAAGGAUCAUUACCAAAAGAUAAUCUUUCAUUCGAAAGAUCUUUUCCUUUGUGCUGGCUUUGACCGUAUGUAAUUUUGGGACUUAAACAUGGUAGCCCUAUGGGUUGCCGGUCCCAAAAACAAUAUAUCAUCCUUAUGAAAACUUACUGAACAACUAAACAAUGAUUUAAUAAUCUGUUUAAAACAACUUUCAACAACGGAUCUCUUGGUUCUCGCAUCGAUGAAGAACGCAGCGAAAUGCGAUACGUAAUGUGAAUUGCAGAAUUCAGUGAAUCAUCGAAUCUUUGAACGCACAUUGCACUCCUUGGUAUUCCGAGGAGUAUGCCUGUUUCAGUAUCAUGAGCACUCUCACACCUAACCUUUGGGUUAUGAUGUGGAAUUGGGAUGCGCCGACUUUCAUUAACCGGCACUCCUAAAAUGUAGCUCUUGGCUGUUUCCUACUACACAAUUUGGCCUAAUAGUUUUGACUUUUGUCAAAUCUUUGGCUACAUUUGCUUCUGGAAAUCAGUCUUGGAUAAUACAGAAAACUCCAUUUCAAACUUUGAUCUGAAAUCAGGUAGGGCUACCCCCCUGAACUUAAGCAUAUCAAUAAC
Molecule: ribosomal RNA, 941 nt
Filed under: Mucorales sp. LM313
Lineage: Eukaryota; Fungi; Mucoromycota; Mucoromycetes; Mucorales
Description: eukaryotic LSU rRNA
Rfam family: Eukaryotic small subunit ribosomal RNA (bases 1-360)
Source: RNAcentral